UACGUAGGGAGCAAGCGUUGUCCGGAAUCAUUGGGCGUAAAGCGCGCGUAGGUGGCCCCAUAAGUCCGCUGUGAAAGUCAAAGGCUCAACCUUUGAAAGCCGGUGGAUACUGUGGGACUAGAGUACGGAGGAGGCGAGUGGAAUUCCUGGUGUAGCGGUGGAAUGCGCAGAUAUCAGGAGGAACACCAAUAGCGAAGGCAGCUCGCUGGGACGUUACUGACACUGAGGCGCGAAAGCGUGGGGAGCGAACAGG
This 253-nucleotide ribosomal RNA is filed under the name uncultured bacterium. Its description in RNAcentral is "partial 16S ribosomal RNA". It matches the Rfam family "Bacterial small subunit ribosomal RNA", at positions 524 to 776 of the family's 1533-position model. The record is from RNAcentral.